RNAcentral lists this ribosomal RNA (491 nucleotides) under uncultured bacterium. RNAcentral describes it as "partial 16S ribosomal RNA". It matches the Rfam family "Bacterial small subunit ribosomal RNA", at positions 29 to 506 of the family's 1533-position model. The record is from RNAcentral.
AGUGAACGCUGGCGGUAGGCCUAACACAUGCAAGUCGAACGGCAGCACAGUAAGAGCUUGCUCUUACGGGUGGCGAGUGGCGGACGGGUGAGGAAUACAUCGGAAUCUACUUUUUCGUGGGGGAUAACGUAGGGAAACUUACGCUAAUACCGCAUACGACCUACGGGUGAAAGCAGUGGAUCUUCUGACCUUGCGCGAUUGAAUGAGCCGAUGUCGGAUUAGCUAGUUGGCGGGGUAAAGGCCCACCAAGGCGACGAUCCGUAGCUGGUCUGAGAGGAUGAUCAGCCACACUGGAACUGAGACACGGUCCAGGCACCUAGGGGAGGCAGCGGUGGGGAAUAGUGGAAACAGGGGGCAAGCCUGAUCCAGCCAUACCGCGUGGGUGAAGAAGGCCUUCGGGUUGUAAAGCCCUUUUGUUGGGAAAGAAAAGCAGCAGGUUAAUACCCCGCUGUUCGGACGGUACCCAAAGAAUAAGCACCGGCUAACUUCGU